This 465-nucleotide ribosomal RNA is filed under the name uncultured bacterium. RNAcentral's name for it is "bacterial SSU rRNA". It matches the Rfam family "Bacterial small subunit ribosomal RNA", at positions 29 to 507 of the family's 1533-position model. The record is from RNAcentral.
ACGAACGCUGGCGGCGCGCCUAACACAUGCAAGUCGAACGGAGCUUAGAGAGUUUGCUUUUUAAGCUUAGUGGCGAACGGGUGAGUAACGCGUGAGUAACCUGCCCUAGAGUGGGGGACAACAGUUGGAAACGACUGCUAAUACCGCAUAAGCCCACGGUACCGCAUGGUACUGAGGGAAAAGGAUUUAUUCGCUUUAGGAUGGACUCGCGUCCAAUUAGCUAGUUGGUGAGGUAACGGCCCACCAAGGCGACGAUUGGUAGCCGGACUGAGAGGUUGAACGGCCACAUUGGGACUGAGACACGGCCCAGACUCCUACGGGAGGCAGCAGUGGGGGAUAUUGCACAAUGGGGGAAACCCUGAUGCAGCGACGCCGCGUGGAGGAAGAAGGUCUUCGGAUUGUAAACUCCUGUUGUUGAGGAAGAUAAUGACGGUACUCAACAAGGAAGUGACGGCUAACUACGUG